Molecule: long non-coding RNA, 1528 nt
Filed under: Felis catus (domestic cat)
Lineage: Eukaryota; Metazoa; Chordata; Mammalia; Carnivora; Felidae
Description: lncRNA (ENSFCAG00000052551.1)
Source: RNAcentral
CCGAUUCUGUGUCUCCCUCUCUCUCUGCCCCUCCCCCGUUCAUGCUCUGUCUCUCUCUGUCCCAAAAAUAAAUAAAAGUUGAAAAAUAUUUACUUUUGAGAAGAGACAGAGAGCAUGCGAGCAGGGAAGGGUCAGAGAGAGAGGGAGACACAGAAUCCGAAAUAGGCUCCAGGCUCCAAGUUGUCAGCACAGAGCCUGACACGGGCUCAAACCCACACACGGUGAGAUCAUGGCCUGAGCCAAAGUUGGAUGCCCAACCGAUUGAGCCACCCAGGUACCCCAAAUAGGUAAAUAUUAAAAAAAAAAAAAAAAACAGAACAAACCUAACAGAACCCUUCUGUCAGAGUGUUGUGGUUGAAUCGUGUCCUCUCCCCCCAGUUCAUAUGCUGCAAUCCUAGCCCCCAGUACCUCAGAAUAUAAUUGUGUUGGGAGCUAGGGUCUUUAAAGAGGUGAUUAAGUUAAAAUGAGGUCAUUAGGGUGGGCCCUAAUUUAAUAGGACUGGUGUUCUUCUAAGAAAAGGUCAUUAGACACGGACACGCAGCCGGACGACCACACGAGAAGACAGGGAGAAGACGGCCAUCGACACGUCAAGGAGAGAGGCCUCAGGAGGAGCCAACCCUGCUGACGCCUUGCUCUCCGACCUCCAGCUUCCAGAACCAGGAGGCGAUAAAUGUCUGUUGUUGAAGCCUCCCUCCCCGUGUGUGGUACUUUGUUGCAGUGCCCCCCAGGAAACACAUAUGCAGCGUGACAAUCCUCACCCCUCAUUUCCACUCCUCUUGUCACCAAAGAUCGAACCGAACACAUUCUGCCCGUGCUCUGGAAUCCAUGAUGGGUCUGCAGCUCCGCACCCGCCAGCAGAGGCGGGGCCAGUGUUCUUCUGGGGGAGAGAUAUUCUUUCCUGCUCACUCAAACCCUCGCGAAUGACACCUUCAACAGCCACUUCAACCCACAGCUCUCCCUUCCCCGAACCCCUGUCGUCUGGGAGCCUUAGUAUUUUCUCCCCGCUUCAUGCGCGUUUAUCUUGUGGCCUCCAUGAGAAGAUGGUCCUUGUGUUGUUGGAGGAGGCGGCCGCACGGUUGGGUUCUGAAGUCACAUGUCAACCAACGAAAGACAAAGGACAAUCUCCUGCUGCAGGAAGUUCAAAGGGCAGCUUUUUCGUGGUCGAUGAAGGAGCAUCACCAUGAUGUCUGGUAUCUAGAGGGAACAGCCCUCUAGGACGAGCCACCUAGAUUGACUUCACCUACAGGCGUCAAGUCAACCAAGAGCCGGCAAUUUUGGUGAUGUGACAUUUAAAAAAAGAUUUCUCGGGGCGCCUGGGUGGCGCAGUCGGUUAAGCGUCCGACUUCAGCCAGGUCACGAUCUCGCGGUCCGUGAGUUCGAGCCCCGCGUCGGGCUCUGGGCUGAUGGCUCAGAGCCUGGAGGCUGUUUCCGAUUCUGUGUCUCCCUCUCUCUCUGCCCCUCCCCCGUUCAUGCUCUGUCUCUCUCUGUCCCAAAUAAAUAAAUAAACGUUGAAAAAAAAAAUUUAAAA